UACAGGGGGGGCAAGCGUUGUUCGGAAUUACUGGGCGUAAAGGGCUCGUAGGUGGCCGACUAAGUCAGACGUGAAAUCCCUCAGCUUAACUGGGGAACUGCGUCUGAUACUGGAUGGCUUGAGUUUGGGAGAGGGAUGCGGAAUUCCAGGUGUAGCGGUGAAAUGCGUUGAUAUCCGAAGGAACACCGGUGGCGAAAGCGGCUCACUGGGUCUUUUCUGACGCUGAUGCACGAAAGCUAGGGGAGCAAACGGG
RNAcentral lists this ribosomal RNA (253 nucleotides) under uncultured bacterium. Its description in RNAcentral is "partial 16S ribosomal RNA". It matches the Rfam family "Bacterial small subunit ribosomal RNA", at positions 524 to 776 of the family's 1533-position model. The record is from RNAcentral.